This 386-nucleotide ribosomal RNA is filed under the name Clostridium botulinum C/D str. DC5. RNAcentral describes it as "bacterial SSU rRNA". It matches the Rfam family "Bacterial small subunit ribosomal RNA", at positions 1 to 381 of the family's 1533-position model. The record is from RNAcentral. Lineage: Bacteria; Bacillati; Bacillota; Clostridia; Eubacteriales; Clostridiaceae.
UUUUAAAUUGAGAGUUUGAUCCUGGCUCAGGACGAACGCUGGCGGCGUGCCUAACACAUGCAAGUCGAGCGAUGAAACUUCCUUCGGGAAGUGGAUUAGCGGCGGACGGGUGAGUAACACGUGGGUAACCUGCCUCAAAGAGUGGGAUAGCCUCCCGAAAGGGAGAUUAAUACCGCAUAACAUUAUUUUAUGGCAUCAUAAAAUAAUCAAAGGAGCAAUCCGCUUUGAGAUGGACCCGCGGCGCAUUAGCUAGUUGGUGAGGUAACGGCUCACCAAGGCAACGAUGCGUAGCCGACCUGAGAGGGUGAUCGGCCACAUUGGAACUGAGAUACGGUCCAGACUCCUACGGGAGGCAGCAGUGGGGAAUAUUGCGCAAUGGGGGAAAC